Long non-coding RNA from Quercus robur (English oak), 5092 nucleotides. RefSeq lists it as uncharacterized. NCBI's taxonomy places the organism in Eukaryota, Viridiplantae, Streptophyta, Magnoliopsida, Fagales, Fagaceae. The transcript has 7 exons. The record is from RefSeq and is a predicted model, not a curated record.
AUUUUUAGAACCCAAAUGAUGUAUUCCCAAUUAGAAGUCAAACUCACUCUAACUUCAGUUUCUCCUCUUAUGAAUACUCUCAACACCGACGCUUGCGAUACAGAGAUAGAGAAGGAGGAAAAAAAAACCUUGCGAUACAGAGAAGGAGACAGAGUUCGUACCCGCCACCGUCCGUUCCAUUGCCAGAAUUAUACCACUCAAACCGGCGCCGGUAACGUAAAGGUGCACACAGGAAUUGAGAUACGGACAUAGAGAGAACUACCACCGAGUGCAAACUUACCCACUUAGAUUUCUGCCACCAAGUUAGUUUAGAGUCACAAGAGAACGAUCGUUACAUCGUUUGAAGAUUCUUUUAAUAACCGUUUGGAAUAUGCUGAUACAAAAGGAGAGAGGACGAUAGAGAGACGAAGAAGAAGGAUUAUUAUAUAAGAAGAGAAAGCCAGUGGAGCAUACACAGGCCAAGAAGGGAGAAGGUUUUUAUGGUGAUUGGCUUUUUAAAUUGGCUUUUUGAUUGUUGAGUGGAACCAUGAAGGCAAGCGGAUAUAGAAGAUGUCCAUGAGACCAAAUGUAAGAGAGAAUUUGAGAGACAAGCAGCAUGGCAAGCGUUGGAGAUUUGUUGCCCAUCCAAAGAGAUUCACUAGAGAGAGUCUGUAAUGCAAUGAGAGAGAAAUUUGAUGGCCCUGCCACUGCCUUCUCGGUCUUCUGCCACUGUCAUACUUUCAGAACCAUUACCGGUAAUUUUGUUCUAUCUACUUAUUUUUAAGUUAGGUGACAAAUAUGAUAUAGGAAUUAAUUUUGUUAGAGUUGCUUCUGUUUUUCAUAUUUGUGUCUAAUUUAGUUUUGUUUUGGGUAUGUUGGUUAAAUUAUUAAUAUCUUCUGUAACAAAAACUGAAAUGACUUUUCAAUUUGUAACAUUUGGCUUGAUCUGCAACAGAAAACUCCUUUUAGCCUAUUUUUCCCCGAAACCAAACACCCAAAAACCUUUAACCAAAGAGAGCCAUAAUAGGAACAACUGGUCAUGAGUCACAACCACAACCCAUCCAAGCAUCUACAAUGUCAACAAUGACAAGAAUAGAAGGUAUGAUAAUAAAUGAUUUUGUUCUUUUGAUUAAAUCUAUAGAGCUCAAAAGUUUAAUGUUUUCACCUUACAUUACACUUUGUAUUAAUGAGCAUCCCGCUUAAUCCUAGAUUUACAAGUUGAAUGAUGUCACUUCUCAUUAGAUGGGGAGUCCAUAUGCUUAUAGGUGGGCUUGGUAGGAAGCCAAGAAGAGAUAAAAGCAGAAGCCUUUCCUUGCAAUUAAGCCCAUUGCAACAUGUAGGAAGCAUUUGGCAAGGGAAAGUGCUCACUUGGUUUUAAACAAAGCUCUCUCUCAAUGCAAGGAGUGUAGAUACUGAAAAAUUAGAGACAAUGAAAUAGUAUUUGGAGAAGAUAAAGUAUUCAAAGAGGAUGAUCAACAUUGCUAUGCUGAAACUUGGGAAUAUGGUGUUGCAGAGAAGAAACAGAACAAAGAACCCUCCCACCACUGACCUGCCAGAACUGCAAACAAUAAGUUUUCCUCUUUAUUUUUCAAUUUGUGCAUUAAAUAUUAUCUUCUUUUUCUAUAAUAGUUGGAUUGGUUUGGAUGUAUAUCAUUGGGUUAUUUGUGGCUUUGAUUAAGGUUUUUGCAUUAUGAUGGUGGUGUUUAGGUUAAAACACAUACGAAUGGAAUUAAAGUCGGUGACGUGACUAGCAUAAGAAGCAGGUACACUCUGCACCACUUAGCGGUGGCGCAUCCCAAGUGGAAACUGCAUCACAUCUCUUUGACUCACCAAACCCUCCCUUCAUCAAAACCCCACUGACUGCAAUGCUUAAUAGAAAAAAUUUUUAGCUAGAAGUCCAGUAUUUCUUCUUUUCUUGGUUUGGAUGGAAUUGGAUUUUUUUGGUAGUUAUGGUUGUGACUCCUAUUUUGGUACUUAACUUGGGACUAUUUUCAAUUGACAUGUAGAACAGUAACAAAUUUGUUAUUUGUUCUUUGUGAGAUGUAUACAUGUUGAUUGUGAUUUUUAUGUUGCAGAAGCCAUUAAUAGUCGGAAAGAAUCCUUAAAAUUGCUUCUAAUAUUGCUGCAUUUGGAUGAUUUAAAAGUUAUAUAGGCAUGGCUUUAUGCAUAAACUUGUGAUUUUUUUGCUGCUUUUGCAUGUUUGAGCUUUUGACAUUUGAUUUUUUGAGUGAAGAUAAUGGGAUUUUUCUCCUCAGUCUAUGUGUGUGUUUAAUUGUAAUAUAUGUGUUCCAAUUUUGGUAUUAUUCAAUUCUAAUAUGUGGGCGUUGCAUUGUGUUAAUCUUAUAGGAGUCUAACACUAAUCAUCUUAAAUGCCAUUUCAAUUUUUGGUACAUGUUAGUCUAUUGGUUAAAUAUUUUUGUAUUUUUAGCUUCUAUUGAGAGAUGAUGUCUUUAGGAAAUGUCUUUGAAAUUCCUAUCCACAAUCUAUCUUUUUCUGAGUUAAUUAUUUUUUAAAGAUGAUGCUUAUUCCUAAAUCAGUUUAUGAUUCUUGAUAUGCAGAGUAUUUACAAAUAGAAUGUGCUAUAUAUAUAUAUAUAUAUAUAUAUAUAUAUAUAUAUAUAUAUGUUAUUCCAAAUGCUUCCUGAACAUUGAAUUUACAUUUUAAAUUAGUUUAGAGCCCGUUUGGAUAGGCUGUUCACAGAACCUUAACGCGCGUUUUAGACAAAACGUGAUUUGCCAAAUCGUUUGGCUCCACAAAAUCAGCACGUUUGCGUUUUCAAAAUCCAGAUUUUUCACGUUUACAAAACACUGCAAAGGUUUGCCUUUUCAGAGACGCAGAUGGGCUAACCGCUAUUUUUUUCUUCAGAAAAUAAAAAUAUCGCCAAUACCAUAAGAAAUACCAGCUUUAUCCCUUCCCCCAUGUAUACCGUACCGGAACCUUGGCCGGUACAGGAACGCUAAUAAUUCGUUCCGGUUUUAAUACCGGCCGUACCGGAGUCAUUCCGGCAAUACCGAAGCGAAUACCGAAUUUUGGAAACUGGAUUUCUAAGAAAUUGAAGGUCUUUGAAGAAGAAUAAAAAUCGAAGAAGCAGUUGAGGCUUUUGUGAAUCUUUGAAAAAAAAAAAUCACCUGUCGUUGCAGAUCAAUCAAGCUGCUGCUUCUUCUCAUUUCCCUGAUGCUACCUCAUGAACUUCUUCUCUUUCUUUUACUUCUAGCAACUUCCUUCUAUCCCACUUUUUCUUUUUCUUUGUUUUAUCCGGCUGUGAAUCUCAAUGCAAAAUUUUGAAACUUGUGGUCAGUAAUGGGAGAGAAAGAAAAGUCUUCAAGUUCACUUUUUACCCAUCCAAAUGGUCAUGUAAUUCACGUGGCCUGGUGUAUUUUUUAUUCCCUUUAACUGUAUUAUGGUAUUACUCUUUAACUCAAAAAAAAAAAAAAAAAAGUACAAUAGUAUAUAUAUACUGGUUAUCAAAAAUAUAUAUAUUAUAAUAAACUAUAUAUUCUGUACAUUAGUUAAAUAGUAUCAGAUAUUUGUCAACAAUGAUCGUUAUUAGCUCAUUGCUGCUCAGAGAUUUUGGGAAAAAAACUUUACCAUUGUUGGUAGAAGUAUAGAUUCUUUGAUGAGGUUGAUAAAAAAAAAAAAAAAAAAAAAAAAUGACAACCUUGAAUACUCACUUUUUUGAAACCAUAUGGAUAACUUAAUAACAACCCGAAGGGCCAAAGGGAGUAGCAUAAUUAGUUAGGGACAUUUGCCUCAUGAAGUGGAGGUCACUACUGUUCCUCUUCUUUGGGACCAAAACUUGUUUAUCUUAAAAAAAAAAAAAAUAGAUGACUUAAUGAUAACAUUAUCUACCUUCAUUUUCAAGUUUCAACUCUUUGUCAAUGACUUUGAUGAGCUCUACUUAUUUCAUGAUCUUAAAUUUAUUUUAAUACUUGUUUGAUUCCCAUGAGUUAUACCAAUUAGCUCUGCUUAUUUUUUUUAGUAAUUAUUUUAAUAUAAUUAUUUUCUUAAUCAUUUUAAUAUCUUCCUCUUGACGGUUUUUUUUUUUUCAAUUUUAAAUUAUAUAAAUUUCUCUCCAUGAUUCCAACAACGACAACAUCAUUAAUGUUAUUAUUAUUAAUGUAAUUGUCAGGCUUAAUUACAUAUUUUUAAAAAUAAUUAAAAAAACACUAAUUAAAAGAAAAAUGACAAAAUAACCUUAACAAAAUAGUUAAGUCCUUUUUUGGAAUUUACACUCCAAACAGCCAUUUUUAAAACAGCUUAUCCAAAUGCUUAAUGUAGUUUUAAAAAUAAAAAAACGCAUAUUUUCACAUUUUUACCAAACACUUAUCUGUGGUUUUUAAAAUGAUGUUUUCAAAACGCAUGUUUUAAAAACGCUCGUUUUAAAAACGCACCUUUAUGAACAGCCUAUCCAAACAGGCCCUUAGUCUUGGUUCCAUGAGCAUUCAACAUUACAGGCAUUCUUUUUUUACUUAUACCCAAAAUUUUGUACAUGCAUGUGUUUGUUGCACCCAUACCUAGUUAGUGACAAAUAUAUUGAAUGAUUUAUGUUAAUAAUAAUCCUUUGAAGUUUAUAGAGUGCAUCAUAGUGCACCAUUCUCUAAUUUAUGUUGAUGUUACUUUGUUAGGUCUUAAUUGCUAUUAAGAGCCGGAGAGUAGGAGAGUAGUUGAGAAACUGCCAGAGACAAAUAAGGAAAUGGCUAUAAAUGAAGUUAAGAAGAGGGCAAAAAUUGUCAAUAUCCUUAUGCACCAAGAAAUUUAUGGAAAAGGAUUGCGCUAAAAAGCAUCAAGUAGAUGUACAUGGCUUAGGAAAGGGAUCAGGUAGCUGCAGAUUUCUCUAUGAGAUUUCAUAAAUGUAACUUUGAUUUAGUGCUACUAUCUUUUAUUUUUUUAUAGGGCGGUAUAGUGAUUGGUAUUGAUAAAACUCUAUAAUAUAAUUUUUACAAGAGUUUUAGUUUUUUAUUUUUUUUCCUACCCUAAGAUAUAUCUUUUGUCCAGUCUUUGUAUUCUUGAAAUUAAUUGUACUUUGUGUAGUUUAAAUUGGAUUCUUAUAGUAAGAAUCCUGUAAUCGUGACAAACAUAGUUUGUAUAAUUGAGGUUCUUUGUAUUUUCCUUA